GAUGAACGCUGGCGGCGUGCCUAAUACAUGCAAGUCGAGCGAACGGACGAGAAGCUUGCUUCUCUGAUGUUAGCGGCGGACGGGUGAGUAACACGUGGAUAACCUACCUAUAAGACUGGGAUAACUUCGGGAAACCGGAGCUAAUACCGGAAAAUAUUUUGAACCGCAUGGUUCAAAAGUGAAAGACGGUCUUUCUGUCACUUAUAGAUCGAUACGCGUUGCAUUAGCUAGUUGGUAAGGUAACGGCUUACCAACGCAACGAUGGAUAGCCGCCCUGAACGCGUCGUUGGUUACCCGGUAUGAGAGGCACGUCCCAGACUCUUACAGUGGGCAGCAGUCGAGACUCCUACGCGAGGGGGCAGAGCCUAACAGAGCAAAGUCGCGUGAGUCAUGAAGGUGCUAGGAUCGGUAAACUCUGUUAUUAGUGAAGUUGAUAUGUGUAAGUACCAGUGAACAUCUUGACGGUACCUAGUCAGAAAGCCCCGGCUAACUCCGUG
Molecule: ribosomal RNA, 497 nt
Filed under: uncultured bacterium
Lineage: Bacteria
Description: partial 16S ribosomal RNA
Rfam family: Bacterial small subunit ribosomal RNA
Source: RNAcentral